Molecule: long non-coding RNA, 412 nt
Filed under: Lathyrus oleraceus (garden pea)
Lineage: Eukaryota; Viridiplantae; Streptophyta; Magnoliopsida; Fabales; Fabaceae
Description: Pisum sativum (pea) long non-coding RNA (PSAT_LNC022900)
Source: RNAcentral
UAGUGGACUUUCGACGGUGAAGUUAGUGUUUUAUGGUGGCGUUGAGUCGCGGUGGAUGUCAACAAUUAUGUGAGGAGAGGCGAUCGACGAGAGGUUGGGCUGGAAUUAUGUGGUGAUCGUGAGAUGAGUAGAAACGUUGAAGAGAUGAGGGAGAAGUCAGAUCCGUGUUUUUUUCUUCUUUUUUUUUAUUGAGAAGGGUGUAUGUGUUAUUAUGCUUUUGAGAAGUUUUUUUUAAUGAAUGAAAGGUGUUUGUUAUGGUUGUAGUGUAGUGGAGAAGAAUAGGUAAUAUGGAUGGAAGAAGAUGAGAGAGUAAGAUCAGGAGUGAUGUGUGGAGAAAGGAAAUCGAUUUCUUUUGGGUCCUUUUUUAAAAUUUUACUGAGUCUACGCCUUAUACUCAGUAGCCAAGGUGGUG